This 199-nucleotide long non-coding RNA is filed under the name Elaeis guineensis (African oil palm). Its description in RNAcentral is "long non-coding RNA (EGUI_LNC020432)". The record is from RNAcentral. Lineage: Eukaryota; Viridiplantae; Streptophyta; Magnoliopsida; Arecales; Arecaceae.
AGAUCAUAUCUUUUUUUUUCAACCACACCCCACAUAUAACCUCGAUAUAAAUAGGCUUUUAACCCAUAAGCGCAUGGAGUUUUAUCCAAAUUAAAACUCCUAACCACCAAAGGAAAGAAGGGUGGUAGAGGGAUUCCCUUUGGAUGUGAACACCUUGCAAAAGGAGGACUAGGGCAUGCACACAAGAAAAGUGGGCGGU